GAUGAACGCUCGCUGUGUGCCUAAUACAUGCAUGUUGAACGGGAUGUAGCAAUACAUUCAGUAGCGAAUGGGUGAGUAACACGUACCUAACCUACCUUUAAGACUGGGAUAACUAUUGGAAACAAUAGCUAAUACCGGAUAUAGUUAUUUAUCGCAUGAUGAGUAAUAGAAAGGAGCUUCACAGCUUCACUUAAAAAUGGGGGUGCGGAACAUUAGUUAGUUGGUAGGGUAAUGGCCUACCAAGACGAUGAUGUUUAGCCGGGCCGAGAGGCUGUACGGCCACACUGGGACUGAGAUACGGCCCAGACUCCUACGGGAGGCAGCAGUAAGGAAUUUUCCACAAUGAGCGAAAGCUUGAUGGAGCGACACAGCGUGCAGGAUGAAGUUCUUCGGAAUGUAAACUGCUGUUAUAAGGGAAGAAAAAAUAGAAUAGGAAAUGAUUUUAUCUUGACGGUACCUUAUUAGAAAGCGACGGCAAACUAUGUGCCAGCAGCUGCGGUAAUACAUAGGUCGCAAGCGUUAUCCGGAAUUAUUGGGCGUAAAGCGUCCGUAGGUUUUUUGCUAAGUCUGGAGUUAAAUGCUGAAGCUCAACUUCAGUCUGCUUUGGAUACUGGCAAAAUAGAAUUAUAAAGAGGUAGCGGAAUAUCCUAGUGAAGCGGUGGAAUGCGUAGAU
Molecule: ribosomal RNA, 673 nt
Filed under: uncultured Mycoplasma sp.
Lineage: Bacteria; Bacillati; Mycoplasmatota; Mollicutes; Mycoplasmatales; Mycoplasmataceae
Description: bacterial SSU rRNA
Rfam family: Bacterial small subunit ribosomal RNA
Source: RNAcentral